RNAcentral lists this ribosomal RNA (459 nucleotides) under uncultured bacterium. RNAcentral's name for it is "partial 16S ribosomal RNA". It matches the Rfam family "Bacterial small subunit ribosomal RNA", at positions 338 to 795 of the family's 1533-position model. The record is from RNAcentral.
CCUACGGGGGGCUGCAGUGAGGAAUAUUGGUCAAUGGGAGAGAUCCUGAACCAGCCAAGCCGCGUGAGGGAGGACGGUCCUAUGUGUUGUAAACCUCUUUUGUCGGAGAACAAAACCCGGGACGUGUCCCGGACUGCGUGUACCCGAAGAAAAAGCAUCGGCUAACUCCGUGCCAGCAGCCGCGGUAAUACGGAGGAUGCGAGCGUUAUCCGGAUUUAUUGGGUUUAAAGGGUGCGGAGGCGGUCCGUUAAGUCAGCGGUAAAAGUGCGGGGCUCAACCCCGGCGCGCCGUUGAAACUGGCAGACUCGAGUUGGCGAGAAGUACGCGGAAUGCGCGGUGUAGCGGUGAAAUGCAUAGAUAUCGCGCAGAACUCCGAUUGCGAAGGCAGCGUACCGGCUCCAGACUGACGCUGAGGCACGAAAGCGUGGGGAUCGAACAGGAUUAGAUACCCUUGUAGUC